This is a long non-coding RNA of Centrocercus urophasianus (Greater sage-grouse), 334 nucleotides long. RefSeq lists it as uncharacterized. The transcript is spliced from 3 exons. The record is from RefSeq and is a predicted model, not a curated record. Lineage: Eukaryota; Metazoa; Chordata; Aves; Galliformes; Phasianidae.
UGGUAACUUUAAGGCUGCUCUGUGAAGGAGCACUGUAAUUGCCGAAUAGGCUGGGAUCAUUUUAAGGCAAGCAGGCAAAUACCCACCCGCUUUGAAGAUGGAAUUCAAUCAAUUUCUGAAAUGUAGUACCUGCGAGAAUCGGGGACCAGACUGGGUGAGCCCGGCAGCCCUUGUAAUCUCACAUUCCUUUGGCUGGAGACAGAGACCAAGUUGGUGAAACAACGUCCAUUGCUGUGCAGUCCCCAGGGGGCUGCCAAUUCCCUUUGCAUUCCUCCUGGUGUAGAAGAACAUCAGAGCAUUAAAAAGACACCCAUCACUUUUACAUAUGUGUCUG